This 304-nucleotide long non-coding RNA is filed under the name Ananas comosus (pineapple). RNAcentral describes it as "long non-coding RNA (ACOM_LNC013148)". Lineage: Eukaryota; Viridiplantae; Streptophyta; Magnoliopsida; Poales; Bromeliaceae. The record is from RNAcentral.
GAACCUGUCACAUGUUUAAACUACCUGAUUUAGCUUUAGGAGCCGUUGUUAUUUUUGUAUCGCCGCAGUAUCAGCAUGGUGGAUAGCCCAGAUAGUUUAGAUUUCAGUUACGCUCGUGUUGGAAUUUCGAGUGUAUUUUUACAGUAGCGUUCAGACUGUUUCGGACUGUUGGGUGCCGUCUGGGUUGACGGUGGACCCAUAAUGCCGUUUUGGCGUCAGAUUGUGCCGAGGGCACGUGACCUAUUGGUUGUUAGACCAGUUAGACCUGAUUUACUUGACUUUGGCUUGUGAGAGCCUGAUUGAG